UUUUCGACAGAAAAAAACAUAUGUCCAUUAUCUCAAUAAAAAUAACAAAUUCACAAAAAAAUAAAUCAAACACUUGACUUCUUAAGACACUGCACUCAUUCACAACUAAAUCAAUACUCAAGAUAAAAAUGUAUAACAUAACUUACAUAUUCUCAACGAAAGUAAAAAACAAAGCCUACUUUACUAUUUCAUUCAGAGAGAAUUCAAAAACAUUAUUGUCAAAAACAAAAUAACCGGUUUGAAAAACAAAUAAAAAAUCUUUCCAACUUCCUAACAAUAAUCAGCAAGAUUCUUCUGUAAAAUCAAUAUAUAUAUAUCCACAACAUAAGUAUAAUACAUUGUACGCAUGCAUCCAAAUCAAAAAACUUUUCUUCUCCUCAAAAAAAUCAAAUCGUAUCAUAAAACCUCUUGUGGAAAAAUGAUUAUAUCAAUUUAUAUCAAUUUGUCUCGAAAAAUAGACACAAAUGAAUUUUAAAUCGAACAUCGCCCUAACAGGUAACAUAAACUUGAAAAAGAAAAAAUCACUUCAACAAUACAAAUCAAGUUAUGAAGAAAAAUCAACCUCAAGAAUGAAAAAAUCAUUUCAUGAAAAAUUCUUCCUCCUCAAAAGCAAUGAAGAAUGUCCUAUUAAGUAAAACUUGCAAGUUCCUCUUGUCAUAGCAUCCAUCAUUCAAAAAGGUAACCAUAAAAUAAUCCUUCCCAAAAACAAACGUAGUACCAUCCUUAACAUGUAAAAAAACAUAUAUAUGAUGUAUCAUGUAAAUAUAAAAAAAUAAGAUGUACCAUGUAAACAUAAAAUAUGUCCAUACAAUACAAUGAGAUCGUCACUCAAAAACAAAGUAAACAAAAGCACUCUGUCUAUCUUCCUCUCACUAAUGUCCCAUAUCAUUUGCAACAAAACCAUCAGAGACCCAAGACAAACCACCAUGAAAAAAAUACAAUCCACUAGCCAAAACAACUUCACAGAGGAAAGUCAUACCCAACGUUCGUACAAAAAAUCCCAUGUAUAUGGAAAUGAAUGGGAAGGGUCAAAUCAAAUGGCAAACGUUACCGUCUGCAAAAAUCACAUUAUAAACUAAAGAAUAGAAAAACAUACCAUCAUGCAUGCCAAUAAAGAAACCAAAAAUGAACAACAAACGGGGGACAUACAAAGCAAAAAAGGGGGGUUGUCAAAUAUCAUCAAUUAUCAAUAAUCACAAAAACAACAGCGAUUCCACACAGGAAAAAUUAAACGCAAAACUCCACACACAUGACCAAAACGAAUCAUUCAUCAAUGGCAAAGAUCAUAUAUGAUAGAAAUCAGCUAAUCAAACGGACGAAGACAACAAAUCAAACAGAUAAAACAAAUAAAAACCAAAACAAAUCAGAAAUGAAAUAAAACAAAAAUAUAUAAGGACAAAAAAACUUUUUCACCUCUUUUUACAAAUAAAAUUGAAAAAUAAAAAACAAUAUAUCUCUCAUAUACAUAUUCCACAAUA
Molecule: long non-coding RNA, 1478 nt
Organism: Stomoxys calcitrans (stable fly)
Lineage: Eukaryota; Metazoa; Arthropoda; Insecta; Diptera; Muscidae
Exons: 2
Source: RefSeq, a predicted model, not a curated record